UACAGGGGGGGCAAGCGUUGUUCGGAAUUACUGGGCGUAAAGGGCUUGUAGGUGGCCAACUAAGUCCGACGUGAAAUCCCUAGGCUUAACCUAGGAACUGCGUCGGAUACUGGAUGGCUUGAAUCCGGGAGAGGGAUGCGGAAUUCCAGGUGUAGCGGUGAAAUGCGUAGAUAUCUGGAGGAACACCGGUGGCGGAGGCGGCAUCCUGGACCGGUAUUGACACUGAAAAGCGAAAGCCAGGGGAGCAAACGGG
RNAcentral lists this ribosomal RNA (253 nucleotides) under uncultured bacterium. Its description in RNAcentral is "partial 16S ribosomal RNA". It matches the Rfam family "Bacterial small subunit ribosomal RNA", at positions 524 to 776 of the family's 1533-position model. The record is from RNAcentral.